GCGGCCGCUCACAUUUGGUUAAUUGAGAUCACUUUUCCACAAUGAAAGCACUGUAUGGCUCAAAGUAGAAAAGUUUCAAAUUAUAACUUUUCCCACAAAAGGUUUGUGGGAAAUAAAACUCCUAUUGACACUACCCAGACCUCCAUUUGAUUAAUUUUCUGGUGCUGUUCUUGUUUUGUCUUUGAGUGCAUAAUACAUAAAAAAUAUAGCAGUGUGUUUUGUACCCCUUAAGUUUUCU
This 238-nucleotide long non-coding RNA is filed under the name Bos taurus (domestic cattle). RNAcentral describes it as "long non-coding RNA NONBTAT015522". Lineage: Eukaryota; Metazoa; Chordata; Mammalia; Artiodactyla; Bovidae. The record is from RNAcentral.